AGCUCCAGUAGCGUAUAUUAAAGUUGUUGCAGUUAAAAAGCUCGUAGUUGGAUUUCUGGCAAGGCAGAGCUAACCUGGUACUAUGUAUCGUGUGUUGGACUCGGUCUGCCAUCCUUCCAGAAAAGCAUCAUACCAUUCACUUGGCCGUGGUGUCGAUCUGGAACUUUUACUUUGAAAAAAUUAGAGUGUUCAAAGCAGGCGUUACGCUAUGAAUACAUUAGCAUGGAAUAAUAAUUUAGGACUUCAGUUCUAUUUUGUUGGUUUCUAGGACAGAAGUAAUGAUUGAUAGGGAUAGUUGGGGGUGCUAGUAUUCAGCGGCCAGAGGUGAAAUUCUUGGAUUCGCUGAAGACUAACUUAUGCGAAAGCAUUCACCAAGGAUGUCUUCUUUAAUCAAGAACGA
Molecule: ribosomal RNA, 400 nt
Filed under: phytoplankton environmental sample
Lineage: Eukaryota
Description: partial small subunit ribosomal RNA
Rfam family: Eukaryotic small subunit ribosomal RNA
Source: RNAcentral